AGUGGCGAACGGGUGAGUAACACAUCGGAACGUGCCUAGUAGUGGGGGAUAACUACUCGAAAGAGUAGCUAAUACCGCAUGAGAUCUAAGGAUGAAAGCAGGGGACCUUCGGGCCUUGCGCUACUAGAGCGGCUGAUGGCAGAUUAGGUAGUUGGUGGGAUAAAAGCUUACCAAGCCGACGAUCUGUAGCUGGUCUGAGAGGACGACCAGCCACACUGGGACUGAGACACGGCCCAGACUCCUACGGGAGGCAGCAGUGGGGAAUUUUGGACAAUGGGCGAAAGCCUGAUCCAGCAAUGCCGCGUGUAGGAUGAAGGCCCUCGGGUUGUAAACUACUUUUGUACGGAACGAAAAGACCUUUUCUAAUAAAGAGGGUCCAUGACGGUACCGUAAGAAUAAGCACCGGCUAACUACGUGCCAGCAGCCGCGGUAAUACGUAGGGUGCAAGCGUUAAUCGGAAUUACUGGGCGUAAAGCGUGCGCAGGCGGUUAUGUAAGACAGAGGUGAAAUCCCCGGGCUCAACCUGGGAACGGCCUUUGUGACUGCAUAGCUAGAGUACGGUA
This 563-nucleotide ribosomal RNA is filed under the name Comamonas sp. Its description in RNAcentral is "bacterial SSU rRNA". It matches the Rfam family "Bacterial small subunit ribosomal RNA", at positions 94 to 653 of the family's 1533-position model. Lineage: Bacteria; Pseudomonadati; Pseudomonadota; Betaproteobacteria; Burkholderiales; Comamonadaceae. The record is from RNAcentral.